ACCUCGAUGGUGUAAUGGCAGCACACGCUCUCGCCAAGGAUGAAGCGCGAGUUCAACUCCCAUUUGAGGUC
Parelaphostrongylus tenuis is the source of this 71-nucleotide non-coding RNA. The record is from the annotation of a GenBank genome assembly. Lineage: Eukaryota; Metazoa; Nematoda; Chromadorea; Rhabditida; Metastrongylidae.